UCUGCUACUGACUCGCUUUAAUGUAACGCCGUUGAAGAGUUAAAGGUGGUCAGUAGUAGGUC
Molecule: microRNA precursor, 62 nt
Filed under: Branchiostoma lanceolatum (amphioxus)
Lineage: Eukaryota; Metazoa; Chordata; Leptocardii; Amphioxiformes; Branchiostomatidae
Description: Bla-Mir-12490_pre stem-loop
Source: RNAcentral